Molecule: ribosomal RNA, 490 nt
Filed under: uncultured bacterium
Lineage: Bacteria
Description: partial 16S ribosomal RNA
Rfam family: Bacterial small subunit ribosomal RNA
Source: RNAcentral
GAUGAACGCUAGCUACAGGCUUAACACAUGCAAGUCGCGGGGCAGCAUGGGGGUUGCUUGCAAUCCCCGAUGGCGACCGGCGCACGGGUGAGUAACGCGUAUCCAACCUGCCCUUCACCACGGGAUAACCCGGCGAAAGUCGGACUAAUACCGUAUGUUGUCCAUUGACGGCAUCCGAUUUGGACGAAAGGGUUGGCGGUGGAGGAUGGGGAUGCGUCCGAUUAGCUGGACGGCGGGGUGACGGCCCACCGUGGCGACGAUCGGUAGGGGUUCUGAGAGGAAGGUCCCCCACACUGGAACUGAGACACGGUCCAGACUCCUACGGGAGGCAGCAGUGAGGAAUAUUGGUCAAUGGGCGUAAGCCUGAACCAGCCAAGUAGCGUGCAGGAUGACGGCCCUAUGGGUUGUAAACUGCUUUUAUGCGGGGAUAAAGUGGCCCACGUGUGGGUUUUUGCAGGUACCGCAUGAAUAAGGACCGGCUAAUUCCGUG